AUGCUUGUUGCGGUAGUACACAUACUAAAAUUGGGUCGAUAUAAAGAAGAUUAGUAUGGCCACUUGGCGCAAGGAUGACACGCAUAAUCGUGAAGCGUCUAAUAUUUUA
Electrophorus electricus (electric eel) is the source of this 109-nucleotide small nuclear RNA. NCBI's taxonomy places the organism in Eukaryota, Metazoa, Chordata, Actinopteri, Gymnotiformes, Gymnotidae. The record is from Ensembl.